GAUGAACGCUGGCGGCGUGCCUAAUACAUGCAAGUCGAGCGAACGGACGAGAAGCUGGCUUCCCUGAUGUUAGCGGCGGAGGGGUGAGUAACACGUGGAUAACCUACCUAUAAGGCUGGGAUAACUUCGGGAAGCCGGAGCUAAUACCGGAUAAGAUUUUGAUCCGCAUGAUUCAAUAGUGAGAGACGGUCUUGCUGCUACUUGUAGAUGCUUCCGCGUUGCAUUAGCUAGUUGGUAAGGUAACGGCUUACCAAGACAACGAUGCAUAGCCGACCUGGGAGGGGGACCGCCCAAACUGGAACUGAGACACGGCCCGGACUCCUCGGGGGGGCAGCAGUAGGGAAUCUUGCGCAAGGGGCGAAAGCUUGACGGGGAAACGCGGCGUGAUGGAUGAGGGUCUUCGAAUCGUAAACUUCUGUUAUUGGGGAAGAAGAUAUGUGUAAGUAACUGUGCACAUCUUGACGGUACCUAAUCAGAAAGCCACGGCUAACUACGUG
This 497-nucleotide ribosomal RNA is filed under the name uncultured bacterium. RNAcentral's name for it is "partial 16S ribosomal RNA". It matches the Rfam family "Bacterial small subunit ribosomal RNA", at positions 28 to 507 of the family's 1533-position model. The record is from RNAcentral.